GAAAUGCGAUAAUUAAUGUGAAUUGCAGAAUUCAGUGAAUCAUCGAGUCUUUGAACGCACAUUGCGCCCCCUGGUAUUCCGGGGGGCAUGCCUGUCCGAGCGUCAUUGCUGCCCUCAAGCACGGCUUGUGUGUUGGGCUUCCGUCCCUGGCAACGGGGACGGGCCCAAAAGGCAGUGGCGGCACCAUGUCUGGUCCUCGAGCGUAUGGGGCUUUGUCACCCGCUCCCGUAGGUCCAGCUGGCAGCUAGCCCCGCAACCAAUCUUUUUAACCAGGUUGACCUCGGAUCAGGUAGGGAUACCUGCUGAACUUAAGC
RNAcentral lists this unclassified non-coding RNA (314 nucleotides) under plant metagenome. Its description in RNAcentral is "partial contains 5.8S ribosomal RNA, internal transcribed spacer 2, and large subunit ribosomal RNA". The stretch from base 1 to 105 matches the Rfam family "5.8S ribosomal RNA", at positions 50 to 154 of the family's 154-position model. The record is from RNAcentral.